GACGAACGCUGGCGGCGUGCUUAACACAUGCAAGUCGAACGGUAAGGCCCUUCGGGGUACACGAGUGGCGAACGGGUGAGUAACACGUGGGUGAUCUGCCCUGCACUUCGGGAUAAGCCUGGGAAACUGGGUCUAAUACCGGAUAGGACCACUGCCUGCAUGGGUGGUGGUGGAAAGCUUUUGCGGUGUGGGAUGGGCCCGCGGCCUAUCAGCUUGUUGGUGGGGUGAGGGCCUACCAAGGCGACGACGGGUAGCCGGCCGGCGAGGGUGACCGGCCACGCUGGGACUGAGAUACGGCGCAGACUCAUACGGGAGGCAGCAGUGGGGAAUAUUGCACAAUGGGCGCAAGCCUGAUGCAGCGACGCCGCGUGAGGGAUGACGGCCUUCGGGUUGUAAACCUCUUUCAGCACCGACGAAGCGCAAGUGACGGUAGGUGCAGAAGAAGGACCGGCCAACUACGUGCCAGCCGCCGCCGUAA
Molecule: ribosomal RNA, 478 nt
Filed under: uncultured bacterium
Lineage: Bacteria
Description: partial 16S ribosomal RNA
Rfam family: Bacterial small subunit ribosomal RNA
Source: RNAcentral